AUUGUCAAUCCUGUUUGCAGUUAUUGGUGCAGGGGGAGCUGCGUUUUGCCUGUAAUGUCAAUUGUGGGUAUGCUGAGAGGGCCAGUCUGCAGAUAUGAUCCAGAUCAACAUGGCAACACUGAUUUAAAUGUAACUAAAUGGGACCUGACCCUUUUGACAAUGAACUGAGAUAUUACAAUAAUGAAAGUUAUAUAUUCAAUAAGGACCUCUGGGAUGUGUGUAUCGAGCCCGCUGGAGUUGUGGAAUUUAACAUCAUUCUAUUCUCCAUUCUCCUGGCGGCAAGUGGCAUUGAACUCAUCCUAUGUGCCAUUCAGAUAGUAAACGGUAUUAUCGGUACACUCUGCGGAACAUGUCAGAAAAAAGAAAAAGGAACUGAAAAAAAUGACAAAGAAAAAAUUCUAUACUCCUAGACCGAUGCAUCCACAAUCCAUCAUCAAUAUGAAGAAGUACAUCAGAAUUUCCAUAGGCCUGAUGAUUUGGUGGAAUUAGCUAGACCAUCUCCUCCUUUUGAGCACAAGAUAACUCAAUGACUGCUUUAAAAAAAGGAGUUUGGAAUUUGGUUACAAUAAAUCCAUUGACAAAUGAA
Molecule: long non-coding RNA, 586 nt
Organism: Bombina bombina (fire-bellied toad)
Lineage: Eukaryota; Metazoa; Chordata; Amphibia; Anura; Bombinatoridae
Exons: 3
Source: RefSeq, a predicted model, not a curated record